Molecule: long non-coding RNA, 6737 nt
Organism: Patella vulgata (common limpet)
Lineage: Eukaryota; Metazoa; Mollusca; Gastropoda; Patellidae
Exons: 6
Source: RefSeq, a predicted model, not a curated record
CCGGGGAGUAACAUGGGCCAGGUGGCGUUAGUCUACCACUUCCGGUUUCGGAGUUAUGACCCCCGAGCGAAGCCGGGCAUUCUUCUAGUAUAUAAAUAAAUAUAUAAAUAAAUCAUCUUCAUGGUCAUCAUCAUCGUCAUCAUCAUCGUCAUCAUCACUAUUUAACACCAAUCAUCGUCGCCUGACAAUUACCUUAUCUAUUCAAAGCGCUUGUUUAGUUUUAAAUACUUGUGAACUUUACUAAAACUCACUUUGUUGAACGGGUUACUUUCGUUGGUAUCGCCAUAUAGGAACGCUUUUGUAUUUAUGGAUUUAAAUGGGAGGGUAUUUAAUGUUGAGAUACGCUGAGACGAAUAAUUUGGGCAGUGCAGAAAAUAAUGGUCGCUGUCUUCUUGAGUAUGACCACAACUGCAUGUCGGGUUAUGUGAAAUAUGCAUUAAAAAUCUAUGGAAGUUUAGAGCACUUUUACAAUUACGAAGUCUGGAAUGUAUAAUCUGAAAUUUACGUUCUCCAUAGUAACAUCUUACUGACAUCAAUAAAUACAAAAAUAUAAAAUGGCUGAUUUGUCAGAUAAAAGUCAUUUCACUCUUUGAUAUGAUUUAUAAUAUGUAAUUUAAAGGAUUUUCAGUGUCACUAAACUUAAAAUUAAUCUAAAUAUAACGGGGUUCCAAAAUCCAAGAUGGCGGAAAUUCAAAAUGGCGGCCAGAAUUUCCCUAAAAUGGUCGAUUUUUCGGAUAAUCGUCAUUUUUAAGUUUGAUAUGGCGAGUGAUAUGCGAUUUAAAGGGUUUUCUGUGUCACUCAACAACCUCAAAAGAAGAGUUUCCAAAAUCCAAAAUGGCGACCAGAAUUUCCUAAAAUGAACGAUUUUUCAGAUAAUCGUCAUUUUUUCGGUUUUGUAUGGCUUGUAAUAAUGUCCUUUAUUAGGUUUUCAAAUUCCACGAACUUGAAAAUAACCUCAAAAAUGAAUUUUGAAAAUGAAUAUUACCUCAAAAAUGAAUUUUGAAAAUGAAUAUUACAUCAAAAAUGAAUUUUGAAGAUGGUAGAUGAUUGCUUAAAAAUACAACAGGACAAUCGUGAAUUUUCCUAUGGGAUUGGCUUGUAAUAGCAAAGAGUAGUAGUUAUUUUGAUGGUAACUGGAACUGUUAUACUGGAUCUCACAUAAACAAGAUUUAAUAUUAUUCCAGCAAAACAGUGAGGUAUAUAUAUCCAGUUGUUAAGAAUUUAUCUAUUGUUUAUUCAGAAAUGGUUCGAAAUAGUGGUUCAGUGAGUAAGACUCGCUAAGAACGAGAUCUGGGGUUCGAUCCCUAUGUUUGCUGAAAAAGUACCUUAGGAUUUUCCAGUGUGGUUUCUCCUUGUCAGGAUGCAGCACCGGGGGGCUUCUCGAGAAACCAAGUUUAUAUGUACACGUUGACGAGCGCAUACAAGAACCCUAGACAGUUGGAAUUCGAAAUAAGAGUACACCAUAGUACCACUGUCUGGGCCAAUUUUCCUCAUAGCACACUGCUUGACGAAUAUCAAUAUUUAUUAACUUUUGUUCAGAAGACUUAUGUCCGGAAACCGUUUGUGGUAUCAUCUAGACAGAUGAAUUCAUAUUUGUCAGUCAUGUAUUUCAUAAAGUGAAAAGUGUAAAAUGAAUCAUCGAAGUCUCUGUGUCCGCAACUUGUGUGGUAUGGUAUCCACAGAUCAUAUUCGUCUGUAAUGUAAUGCACACCAAGUUCUAAGUUAAAAAUAAUCAUCACGAAAAUAAUUGGAAAUGCAUUUACGACUAGGUAUCCCAAAAGUCAUCUCCCACGAUUUCCUCUUUUCUUAUGUGUUGUUCUUACAUGUAGAACUUGUUGUGAAAUACGUAACUGACGAAAAUGACCUGUGGAUACAACAUCUAGACUAUACCACAAAAGUUACUGGACACGGAGUCUUCGAUGCAAAAACGGACCACAUUAAAAUUUCUGAACGAAUAGGAGAACUUAAAUUCUUAACGACUGGAUAUACCACAAAUGAUUCUCACUCCGGUAAAAUGGUGCAAAGACAAAGGAGAUGAAAUUAAAAAUGCGUCAGUUGGCCCCGUUGUAUUGUUAUGGGGGUUUUAUGCAUAAAAACAAUUAAGCUACAUUUAUUGUGUCUUAAGGUUAAAUUCUUUGAAAUUCUAAUUAGCUGACUGGUAAGUUCUGCACAUGGUUUAUUUAUUGACAGGUAGAUUCCUGGGUCAGGUCAAAUUAAGUUGCCCUUAAAAAAAGUAUUACAAUUUGCUAUUAUAAACCAAUCCAAGAGAAAGAUUGAUGAUUGUCCCUUUUUUUUCUGAAACAAUCAUCUUCAAUUAUCAAAUUCAGAGAGAAAGAGAGAGAAAUGGGGUUUAACGUCCACUCGGCACAAACUAGGUCAUUUCGGGACUAACAUAUGGUUUAAUUUUAUUUACAUAAUUGGCUUGUGCGUAGGGGUCUUUAGCAGUGGGAGGAAACCAGAGGACCCGGAGAAAACCCACGAGGUUGGACAGGCGACCCUACUCCUUGCCACGUACAACCGGGGAUUCAAAAUCACGCCAGUCGACUCAAUGACAGACUUUAUGAUACAGCACGCGCAUGCUAACCAUUCAGCCAUCCAACCCCCCUAUCAAAUUCAGUGACUCUGAAAACUUAAUAGAGGACAUAUUACAAGCCAUAUCAAAACAGAAAAUUGACGAUUAUCUUAAAAAUUGAUCAAUUUAGAGAAAAUCUGGCCGCCAUUUUUUUAAUUUCCGCCAUCUUGGAUUUUGGAAACUCUAUUUUAGAUUGAUUUUAAGUUCAAUGACAUUGAAAACCCUUUAAAUUACGUGUUACAAACCAUAUCAAAGAGUGAAAUGACUUUUAUCUGACAAAUCGGCCAUUUUAGAUAAAUUUUGGUUGACAUUUUGAAUUUCCGCCAUCUUGGAUUUUGAAAACUCUUUUUUUCUUUAGAUUAAGGUAGAUUCCUGGGUCAGAUCAAAUUCAGUUGCCCUAAAAAAACUAUUACAAUUUGCUAUUAUAAACCAAUCCAAUAGAAAGAUUGGUGAUUGUCCCUUUUUUUUCUGAAACAAUCAUCUACAAUUAUCAAAUUCAGUGACUCUGAAAACUUAAUAGAGGACAUAUUACAAGCCAUAUCAAACAGAAAAUUGACGAUUAUCUUAAAAAUUGACCAAUUUAGAGAAAAUCUGGCCGCCAUUUUUUAAUUUCCGCCAUCUUGGAUUUUGGAAACUCUAUUUUAGAUUGAUUUUAAGUUCAAUGACAUUCAAAACCCUUUAAAUUACGUAUUACAAACCAUAUCAAAGAGUGAAAUGACUUUUAUCUGACAAAUCGGCCAUUUUAGAUAAAUUUUGGUCGACAUUUUGAAUUUCCGCCAUCUUGGAUUUUGAAAACUCUUUUUUUCUUUAGAUUAAUUUUAAGUUCAGUGACAGUGAAAACCCUUUAGAUUACAUAUUACAAACCAAAUCAAACUGUGAAAUGACUUUAAUCUGACAAAUCGGCCAUUUUAGGUAAAUUUUAGCCGCCAUUUUGAAUUUCCGCCAUCUUGGAUUUGGGGAAACUAGUUUUAGAGAUUAUUUUUCAGUUCAAUUACAACAAAAACCUUAUAUAUGAUAUAUUACAAGCCAUACCUUGCAUGAAAAUCACCCAUCCUAUCUGGAAAUUCAUUUUACGUCAACUUUUGGCGGCCAUUUUGGAAAUCAGACAAACCCCAACCGAAAAUGACGUCAUAGAUAAAAAAAUUUCUAAAAAUCGUGUUCAGCUAGCAAUUUCGCCUCUGGAAAUUGCUGGCCUGAAAUGAUUUGUAAAAAAAAUGUCUUAUUGUGACACCCCUAGUGGAAGCGGACGUAAAAUACAACUAACUAAGAAGAAGUAUCUAUACUUUAGUCAUUGCGACAAAUUCUUUCUUUGAUAUUAUAUCAGCGACAUUCAGUUAGAUAGAUGUAGUGAAGUUAGCAUCAACAGGGUGCUUUAGCCGUGAUAUUUUUAAAAAAAUUAUAAUGGUCACAUAGAAUACCAGACCGCAGGUUUGUAAAUUUUUACAAAAAAUAAAACCGUGUAUUUAAUUUAGCAUGUAUAUAUUGCUUCUAUGUAUAUAAUAAUUCGUUUCGUUUAAAACAGUCAGAUUUAGAACUACUGCCACUGACUGCACCGGAAGUCUAUUUAUAUAAUGGCGCCACAAAGAAAAUGUUUUUGAUGUGUUCUAAAAGUGUUCCGCUAAUUCAGCAAUCUAAUGAAUCUGUCUUAAUUUUUCUGAAAUCGUGCUUAAUUAUUAUUAGCUAAUCGGCGCUACACCGUUGUUCAAAUACUUAUAAUUGCAAGAAACCCCCGACUAGGACCAGCAGGUAAGAAUCUGUCUUGAUUUUAUAGUAAUACCCGGUUGCAAUUAUUGGCCGCCAUCUUUGAUUUUUAUAGACGUUCGGGCAAAAGGAGAAAUGUAUAUCCAGACAUGGACUAUAGCUAGAUACUAACUUUUGUGUUAGUUGUUUAGUUGAAAUGUAAUCUUAUUUCUGUAAAAGAAAAAAACAACAACAAACAAAUCAGCCUUUUUUUUAUAUCAAUGUCAUCAAUGUGUAGGCCUAAUAUUAGACUUUCAAUGAUUCAGAAGUUUCUCUACAGUUUCGUUAUUUUUUUUUCCAGUCAUUGAUGUUAGCAUGUACUACACAAAGAAAAACAGGCAAAGCAUGAAGCCAAAGGAAAUGUUUUUACUAAGGCAUGUUCCUCAAUAGCGGAGAGAGUUUUAUCCAGUGUCGGUUCUGCAGAAGAACCCAUUCAUAGCAGACCACCCAUUGCAGCACUUGUAAGGUCGCUAUAAAGAACCCGACAGACUCUGCGACCAAAAGAUCCCACUGACGUGUCGUCAAGCCUUGACGAAGAUUUCAUCGAUCAUAGUGCACCGGGAUUUUAUCAAAAAAGAGUAAAAGUUGGGGAAAGGCGCCAUCACAUUUUUUGUACUGAUAGACAGAUGCAACUACUCGCACGCGCAAAAACUUGGUAUAUGGAUGCAACUUUUCGGGUGGUGAACAAGCCAUGGUCUCAGCUGUUUUCCAUACACGCCUUCAUUAAGACUGGAGAGACCACCCGACAGUUACCAUUGGUGUUUUGUGUAAUGUCGGGUAAAAGCCAAGACGACUAUUAUAAGUUUCCAUAUUAGAUGCCAUAGCAAAUCAAAGAUCAUAUAAUAAAAUAAGUCAAAAAACCCAAAUAUGGAAAAAGAAAGAGCUGAAGAAAUGGUGAUUUGAGCACCUAUGCUUUCUCAUAGGUGUUUUUGGAGGUUAACUACAUCAGAAAGAUCAAGACAGUUGGAAAUGGCUAUUCAUAUUAUGGAAACUUUUUCUCACAGAGCUUGAUAAUCAGGUAAAAUGCUGGAAGAUUAUUCGAUGUAUGAUAACAACAAGAGAUCCCAAGCAUCAAUUUAUUUUAUAAUUCUGGAAAAGAAUGCAUUUGACCCAAUUUUUGAAUAUUUUUUUUUGUUUUUACUGUUAAAUAUUCAUCCCAAACACAAUUAGAUUUUAAUUCUCUACAGAAAUUUAUGUAUAAUAUAGAAUGUAAAGUGACAUAUAAAUCACUUAGAAUUUGGUCGGAAAUCAUAAAGUAUUUAAUAGGCAUAGUCUAGAAACCAAAUGUAGAUCAAAUAUACCCAGAAUUACAAAAAACCUUGACCUACAUUAAGGUGACUUUCCCUUGCUUAUGAAAUGAAAUAGGGUUUAAUAUCCUACUUUUCUGUGUUAUUAUGGUGAUUCUGCCCUACAACCUACUCUUAUAUCAAAUAUUUCAACUGUCAAGGGUUGUUUAAAGGGGACCCAGGAGGGCCGAAUGGUUAACACACGCACAUUGGAUCAGAAGGGUCUGUCAUUGAGUCAGAUAAUUCAAUUGUCAAGGGUUCUUUAAAGUAAACGCAGUGGGGGUAGUUUCAAUUCUGGGCUUAUACCCAAUUAUCCCUUGCCAUGUCCUACACUACUGACGUGUGGGAACUAUGUGGGAAAAUCCAGUUGAAAUUUCUCGGCCAAUGCACUCACUGAACCACAGUGGCUCCUCCUUGCUUUUGACUUGUGAUUAUUUAUAUAUAUUUUGUACAUAUUAUUUAAUGUUUGCGAUUUUCUCUGAUAUUUUUUUAUUUUUCAAUCCUGUAAUCUUGAUGCUUUGCUCCUUUUAUGUACAAAAUAUUCAUUUUGUUUGAGGAAAAGGUUCUACAUCAUUUUAUUACUCCUGCAAAAUAGUGCAUUUGUCUUUUGUUAGUUUUCUGUGUAUGCUAGUUAUUUCUAGAUGCCUCACAAAUCACUUGUAAUAUGACUUUGUAGCACUUUUCAGUUUCUGAAAGUAUUUCAGUUUAGUGCAUAAUUAAUCUAAUUAGGGCUUGGUUUGGAUGUUAUUAAAUUUAGAUAUAUUUGAAUUAUAUAUUUUUGGGGUAUGGGGUAGGGAUCUUUCUUUUCUCAGUUCUUGUUUUCGGGUAAAGAAAAAAUUAAAUAGCUAUUUUGUAUUUUGUGAUGUUGGGGGAGGGGGGCAAAGUAUAACAAAAUUUUUAUUAGUAUUAGAAUUAUAUCUCUGUUUUUCUGUUAACAUUUCAAAUGAUGUCUAUUUAGUUUUGAUUUGGUGGUGUUAAUUUACUUUUUCCUAUCAUUUUAUGAAUAAAUGAUAAUUUAACAAAUAAAAUUAUUGUUACCUCAUUUAUCAAACUUUACAGGUUAAACAGAGCAAAAGGGGUGGGGGGCUGCAUGGGAAAGAUUGCUAAAUUGAGGGAAAAUAAAACACAAGUUUUUGUUG